ACCUCUCCAUCUCUCUCUGCGUCCCGCCCUUCCCCUCUUCUCUGCACCCACCUCGCUGUCUCUGGUUCUCAAUCAUCCACACACCACCCAUCACCAUGGUCGCGAACUCUGUCGCGCCCGCACGGCCGCACACGCCACCAUCCCGGAAGCGGCUGCAACCCCGGCGGAGCACCUGGAGUCCACUUCAACUCGCUGGCCGCAGCCUCCGCUCCCUCACGACGCCGCCAGUGUAUGUGCGCCGCCGCUACCGAGAUGGUCGAGUGGCAGGCCGCCACGGCCGACCUGUUCGAUAAGUCGGUGAACGCAAUAGGAUUCCUCGCCAUCGAUGCUGUCGCAACCCCACCUCCACAACGGGAUCUACCACGACGAGACGAUGGGCGACGACCAACACGACCAUGCCGACGAGCUCCGCCAUGAUGAACUGCCCAAUACUUGUUGCUGAAACUUUACCUUGGAUCUCUCUGAAUUUUCUGUUUCGCACUUGGUUAGAAAUUGAUUGAGGAACUUUUACGUGAAUAUCCAAAUGACCAAACCUGUAUGAAUGCAUUUAUGGGACUUUCUCUAGGUAUGUGAUUUAGGAUUCCAUUUGCGCAGAACUGGAUGGGUGCAUAUACAACACUUCUUUUAGAAUGUUCUUGCAGGACUUGAGUUGAUAAACAAAUAGUUGACAAAUCUUCUUUUGAUGUAGGCUAUGAUUCUGGAUUACCUUGCUAGCUAAACAACUUCCAAGGAUCUUGUGGUUAUUUCUCCUGAUGUGGGUGUUGUUGUUAGAGCACGUGCAUUUGACAAGAAAUUGUGAUGCCCUUUUAGCUACUGUUGAAAGGAGAAAGGAGUCACAAUAUGUUAGAGUCAUGCAGCUCAUCCCCUUGAUUGGUGAUCUGAAGGGGGGAGUUUCUAUUAUGGCUGAUGACAUGAAUGACACAGCAGGAAAUUGGUGAUGUCAAGGGUGAGCUUAGUGCAGAUAGUCCACACAAUAUAGUGCCUUUGUUGUUGAAUCUUUCUUGUGACUAUGCAAACUGAAACACAACGGCUGAAAUCCUGACAUUUGUUCUUCAUUUCUGCUAAGCGUAACUGUUUGAGUUAUAUUACAA
Triticum dicoccoides is the source of this 1091-nucleotide long non-coding RNA. RefSeq lists it as uncharacterized. The transcript has 3 exons. NCBI's taxonomy places the organism in Eukaryota, Viridiplantae, Streptophyta, Magnoliopsida, Poales, Poaceae. The record is from RefSeq and is a predicted model, not a curated record.